GACGAACGCUGGCGGCGUGCUUAACACAUGCAAGUCGAGCGGUAAGGCCCUUUCGGGGGUACACGAGCGGCGAACGGGUGAGUAACACGUGGGUGACCUGCCUUUAGCUCUGGGAUAAGCCUGGGAAACUGGGUCUAAUACCGGAUAUGACUCCGCGGUGCAUGCUGUGGGGUGGAAAGCCUUGUGCGGCUGGAGAGUCGGGCCCGCGGCCUAUCAGCUUGGUUGGUGGGGUGAUGGCCUACCAAGGCGACGACGGGUAGCCGGCCUGAGAGGGCGACCGGCCACAC
Molecule: ribosomal RNA, 287 nt
Filed under: uncultured bacterium
Lineage: Bacteria
Description: partial 16S ribosomal RNA
Rfam family: Bacterial small subunit ribosomal RNA
Source: RNAcentral